RNAcentral lists this non-coding RNA (22 nucleotides) under Rattus norvegicus (Norway rat). The record is from RNAcentral. Lineage: Eukaryota; Metazoa; Chordata; Mammalia; Rodentia; Muridae.
UGGAUGACACCGGAUGGAGGAC